Molecule: ribosomal RNA, 649 nt
Filed under: uncultured bacterium
Lineage: Bacteria
Description: bacterial SSU rRNA
Rfam family: Bacterial small subunit ribosomal RNA
Source: RNAcentral
CAGGCCUAACACAUGCAAGUCGAACGAGAAAUCGGAUCUAGUGGCGCACGGGUGAGUAACGCGUGGAAACCUGCCUAUCUGUACGGAAUAACGUUUGGAAACGAGCGCUAAUACCGUAUACGCCCUGUGGGGGAAAGGUCCGCCGCAGAUAGAGGGGUCCGCGUCCGAUUAGCUUGUUGGUGGGGUAAUGGCCUACCAAGGCGACGAUCGGUAGCUGGUCUGAGAGGAUGAUCAGCCACACUGGGACUGAGACACGGCCCAGACUCCUACGGGAGGCAGCAGUGGGGAAUAUUGGACAAUGGGGGCAACCCUGAUCCAGCAAUGCCGCGUGUGUGAUGAAGGCCUUAGGGUUGUAAAGCACUUUCAAUGGUGAAGAUGAUGACGGUAACCAUAGAAGAAGCCCCGGCUAACUUCGUGCCAGCAGCCGCGGUAAUACGAAGGGGGCGAGCGUUGUUCGGAAUUACUGGGCGUAAAGGGCGCGCAGGCGGUCAAUUCAGUUAGGUGUGAAAGCCCCGGGCUUAACCUGGGAACUGCACUUAAUACUGAUUGACUAGAAAACGGAAGAGGAGAGUGGAAUUCCCAGUGUAGAGGUGAAAUUCGUAGAUAUUGGGAAGAACACCAGUGGCGAAAGCGGCUCUCUGGUCCGAUU